Molecule: ribosomal RNA, 238 nt
Filed under: uncultured bacterium
Lineage: Bacteria
Description: partial 16S ribosomal RNA
Rfam family: Bacterial small subunit ribosomal RNA
Source: RNAcentral
CGGAACGGGUGAGUAACGCGUGAGGAACCUGCCUCAAAGAGGGGGACAACAGUUGGAAACGACUGCUAAUACCGCAUAAGCCCACGGCUCGGCAUCGAGCAGAGGGAAAAGGAGCAAUCCGCUUUGAGAUGGCCUCGCGUCCGACUAGCUAGUUGGUGAGGUAACGGCCCACCAAGGCGACGAUCGGUAGCCGGACUGGGAGGUUGAACGGCCACAUUGGGACUGAGACACGGCCCAG